GGCUGGUUCCGUCCUUAGGUUGGCGCACGGAUCCAUUCCUCGUGAGUAGGAUCUGUGUAGAUACUCCUCGUCACAAUUCCCCCACUUCACAUGAAUUCUUAGCCAAAACCCUCACACUCAGAUCCGAUUCCUGUUGCUAAUAUUGGCAAAUAUGUGUUUUCUUAUUAUUUUUUCGUGUUUUUUUUUACCUCUACCAUUACAAUCUGAAGGUAGAUUUGAAGAGGGAGGCUGUUCUGGCCGGAACGGUCGUCGUCUACAGCGUUCUAAAGAUGCCCGUGCUCUGGAGCUCUUCCCUCGACGCCGACGCCGACGCAGCAGCCACUAAUCGACAUUCAUCAUCAACGGUACUGUCCUAGAGCACUGUAGUGGCGUUGUAGGCUACAGUGGUUAGCGUUAGUUGCUUGUUCUAGGUUAGUCGUCCUACUCGUCUACCAUUUGCCUCAACAGCUUUUCUGUCUCCCUCCUCGUAAUAGCCAGAUCGGGUGGCUGUGUUCUUUUCCAGCUCCGCAGGUGUUCGUCACAGAAGAUCGUGGUGGGAAGAAAACCGCAAGGAGAGUUAAUCACUAGUGGUCUUGUUGUAGCUUUUUAGCCUGCGAUAAUCCUUGUGGGUGGCUGGCUUGCUGAGGAUUGUCUUGUAUUGAAGUACAGUUCGUUAGAGAUGGUUGGAGGGCAUUAACGGGUCGUGGCCAAGGACCGAAAUUGCGGCGGGUGGAGGGUAUGGAGACUAGGGUGUGAGUUCAGGAAAAGAUGGUGUGGUGAAGGAGGUGGGAAAGAUGACGAGUUUUUGUGUCAUUGAGGAAAUUCUGACGGAUUUGUAAAGAGUUUCUGCAGAGGAGCUUGUUUUACCAAUGGUUGCCCUAGCUUGGGUAGUGGUACAUAAGUUCCUGUGGGCGCUAUGGAAGGUGUAGAGAAAGAGCGGACAGGUUGGAUAGCUGGGGAGGAGAAGGUUAAACAGGCGUAGUGUGAAGGAUCUGUGGCGUUUCGGUUGGCAUUGCUUGCGUUGUAUGUUGUUUCUUAUGUGGCUGGUGCACUUUGUUCUGUGCUGCUCGGAAUUUGACCUGGUCUUAUGUAUGAGAAAUAAGACCUUUGAGGUGUUCCCUUGGGAGAGUUUGGACGUUAGAGAUAACAGAGUACUGACGUACGGAUUCUGCACGUAAUAGGGCUUACACAGCGUGAGAUAGUGAAUGAGUUCGAUAAGAAGUCGGGAAACUAAUUGGCGAGGUCGAGGCAAACUCUUCUUAUUGGUGAGGUUCUAGUUGCCAUGGCCUUUGCUGUCAUUUGAAGUGGGAGAUGGAGCCCUGACCUUCAACAGCUGGUUUGGAAUUAGGGAAGAGGAGGGGCUGAACAGGACGCACUUGCCUCGUGCUUCGGGCCUGUGUCCCGCGGCAUUCGAUCUUGAAGCGAGGAUCUAUAGUUGUAGUGAAUUGGAGGUUUCUGUUGGAACGUGUCAGUGCGAGGUCUAAGUUCUUUGCCCUCCAGCAAUGGUUGGCGGUCAUACAUGAUAAGGAUCUACUGUGAGACGACAUCUGUAAAUGCCAGCUAUGGCGCUCUGCCGUUGAUGACAUAAACAUUGGAAGGACGAAACGUUUGUGUCCUACCUCUUCUCAGGAUCCAUCCUGAGGUAUUCUGGCAUUUUGCAUUACGGUCGCCAGAGAUUCUCCCAAGGAUGUGAACUCGUAGACAUCCGUUCUAUGAAUUGAUGUUAUCAAGCAUAUAUCUGUCUGUAAAGUUGAUGGCACGAGGUGGAUGCUGCUGGAGUGGGCCAUUUUGUCUUGGCUCAUUAUCCCGCAAGAACAAGAAGCGAAUUGUUCCGGCAACCAGAGUGCACGAUGGAACUGCACAGCCAUCUGACCCUCAGGGCCAGUUUGCCUUCCUACUUGCACCCCCUUCGUCUCCUGCUUCCUAUGCAAAUUCUAUGGCACCUUCCUCUGUUCAGUCGCCCUACUACCCUUCAUCGUGUCCUGUUCCUCAGGGUGGUGGGUCUAGGAUUCCUCUAGAAACACAGUCUAACAUGUUCGCUGUAGGUCCGUAUGCACAUGAAACCGCUCUAGUCUCUCCACCAGUUUUUUCUACGUUCACAACUGCUCCCUCCACAGCUCCUUUUACGCCCCCUCCAGAGCUUGCAGCCCAUUUCACUACGCCUUCUUCCCCUGAUGUUCCUUUCGCAAAGCUGUUAGGAUCUUCGUUCUCAGAACAGCGAACUACGAAGCGAGAAGCGGAGCCUCCAUACUCAGCCUCUCCAUUCGCUUCCCCAGAUUACUAUCAGCAAGAUCACCAUCCGCAGGAUGACUUGCAGGUUGGGUAUCAGUUAUAUCCAGGAAGUCCGCUUGGUCGUUUAAUUUCUCCUGCAGGCACCACGGGCGCGUCAACUCCUUUUGCUGCAGGUGGCACUACUGGUACUAAUACUCCUCAUGCAGAGAGUGACAAUCCUACUCCACUGACUGUCCUUCCAGCAGUGGUAAGCACUUUACCUAACCUUGAGCACCAGGUGGCUGAAGGGCUUCAUCAGAGGAGUAUUCUUGAUUCUCAGUGCGGGCCAGGGGAACCUCUGAGUGACAGUGGUAGAGAGCGGCAUGGGAGCUUUGACAGUCACUCGCGGUUCAUGGUAGCAAUGAUACACGAACGCGAUGGAUCUGAUUCCAACUCAAAUUCGUAUGGACAUGAGCGGUACAGCGGAAGUUUGACUGGGCUUAAUGACGUCUUGGAGGGACGGAACAGGUAUACGAAGUUGAAGCAGGACAAGGGUCCUCGAUCCUCUAGUCUGAGAUCCCAUGAGAAAGAGGAUGAUAUUCAGGAAGAGGACUUGCUUGAACUUCCCAUGCUAUUAGGCAGUGAGAGUUCUCAUGGUGGUUCGAGAGCAUCACGGUCUCCAAGUAGUAGAAGUAAAGUUCAGAGCAAGGCAGGGAGCAGAGUAGGGAGCAGGGUAGAAAGUAAGGCAGCUAGCAGGGUAGGGAGUAAGGCUGGGUCUGAUGCCUUGAAAGAUUGGGAUCACAACGAGGAUAACUUAUUGGAAUAUGCACUAAGCUUGCUUGAAGGAACUGAUGGAAAAAGACCCGGAACAAUCGGGUGGGCGCCAGUGGAUACCUCGCUCCCACGAGAAUCUGAAGGUCCCAUUCAGUCAUCCUCUACCACGAGAAACGAGACCGAGGAGAAUGAAAAGGAUACUGUGUAUAAAAGUAUCAAGAAUGGUAAAGGUAGCGACAAUGUGCCCCAGCAAGUAGUGGGGGCGGGAGCAAAGGAGGUUUCUGAGGGAACGAUUACUCCGGUUGGACAUCAUGGUAGUGCACCUGGUAAGCAACCUGAAGAUAGGAAAACAGAUAGAUUGCUGUUCGAGAUGCGAAUCGCUUGUCUCUCAGUGUGAGCAGCUAUCAGUGGCUUUGAAGGAGGCUAGAAGGAAACAACAAGAGAAAGAUCGACUUGCGGAGGAAAGAGAAAAACAAAUAAGGCACCUUACACAGCUACUGCAGUCAGGGGGUUUACAGAAAUUUGUCGGGGAUUUUCCAAAGGCUGCCAACCAAGUGGGCGAGGGCAACAAUGUCAAAGACAUAUCCUGAUAUAGGCAUUUUUCACAAGUUUAUCAACCUUUCCAAACAGACAUUACAUGCAUAAGUAAUAACAAGAGCUUGUGGUCAAUCUGGAUAGGAACAGGGCAGUUUCUUACAAGUCCUAGAUCUGUUGGACGAGCACAUGCCGGAGGUACCAUAUUUAGCCAGACAUUCGAAUCACUGAAAAGCCUCAAUAGAUCUUGUAAUGGGUUUCACCUGGGGAUAGACGUUUAUGGUAUCAUACAGUAUUUUACGAUUUGCAGAGUCACUGUCUGAUAGGUUAAACAGCAUUUCCGACAUGUGGUUUAAACUUCGUUCAACUUUGUAUCAGGAAUACCUGAGUCGAGCAAGCUUAUUCUGCCCUGUUUCUGAAGAAUUCAACUUCUCCGCAGGUUAGCGAGUCAGCGAGCAUCGGGUUUUCUUUGAGGGAAAUCGGAAGCUCUGUCAUUUCUUAUGGGCACCAAGGCAUGAGACUCAUCUUCUAUUAUUAUCAUGUUUGACACUCGUUUGAGAAACCUGGCUUUCAGAAUCUUUGCUGGGUUUUAGUCA
Non-coding RNA from Physcomitrium patens, 4094 nucleotides. NCBI's taxonomy places the organism in Eukaryota, Viridiplantae, Streptophyta, Bryopsida, Funariales, Funariaceae. The record is from RefSeq and is a predicted model, not a curated record.